GGUCUGCUGGCCUAAUGGAUAAGGCACCCGCCUCCGGAGCGGGAGAUUCACGGUUCGAGUCCGUGGUAGAUCA
Non-coding RNA from Baffinella frigidus, 73 nucleotides. NCBI's taxonomy places the organism in Eukaryota, Cryptophyceae, Cryptomonadales, Baffinellaceae. The record is from the annotation of a GenBank genome assembly.